This 449-nucleotide ribosomal RNA is filed under the name uncultured bacterium. Its description in RNAcentral is "bacterial SSU rRNA". It matches the Rfam family "Bacterial small subunit ribosomal RNA", at positions 331 to 794 of the family's 1533-position model. The record is from RNAcentral.
CCAGACUCCUACGGGAGGCAGCAGUGGGGAAUAUUGGGCAAUGGAGGCAACUCUGACCCAGCAACGCCGCGUGAAUGAUGAAGGUCUUCGGAUUGUAAAGUUCUUUUCUAAGGGAAGAAGAAAGUGACGGUACCUUAGGAAUAAGCCUCGGCUAACUACGUGCCAGCAGCCGCGGUAAUACGUAGGGAGCAAGCGUUGUCCGGAAUUACUGGGCGUAAAGGGCGCGUAGGUGGGCGCUUAAGUCAGGUGUGAAAACUCCGGGCUCAACCUGGAGACUGCACUUGAAACUGGGUGUCUUGAGGGCAGGAGAGGAAAGUGGAAUUCCUAGUGUAGCGGUGAAAUGCGUAGAUAUUAGGAGGAACACCAGUGGCGAAGGCGACUUUCUGGACUGUACCUGACGCUGAGGCGCGAAAGCGUGGGUAGCGAACGGGAUUAGAUACCCCGGUAUC